AGGACGAACGCUGGCGGCGUGCUUAACACAUGCAAGUCGAGCGGUAAGGCCUUUCGGGGUACACGAGCGGCGAACGGGUGAGUAACACGUGGGUGAUCUGCCCUGCACUUCGGGAUAAGCCUGGGAAACUGGGUCUAAUACCGGAUAUGACCUCCUAUCGCAUGGUGGGUGGUGGAAAGAUUUAUCGGUGCAGGAUGGGCCCCGCGGCCUAUCAGCUUGUUGGUGGGGUAAUGGCCUACCAAGGCGACGACGGGUAGCCGACCUGAGAGGGUGACCGGCCACACUGGGACUGAGACACGGCCCAGACUCCUACGGGAGGCAGCAGUGGGGAAUAUUGCACGAAUGGGCGAAAGCCUAGAUGCAGCGACGCCGCGUGAGGAUGACGGCCUUCGGGUUGUAAACCGUCUUUCAGCAGGACGAAGCGCAAGUGACGGUACCUGCAGAAGAAGCACCGGACUAACUACGUGCCAGCAGCCGAC
This 479-nucleotide ribosomal RNA is filed under the name uncultured soil bacterium. RNAcentral's name for it is "bacterial SSU rRNA". It matches the Rfam family "Bacterial small subunit ribosomal RNA", at positions 26 to 518 of the family's 1533-position model. The record is from RNAcentral.